Molecule: ribosomal RNA, 216 nt
Filed under: Glomeromycotina sp.
Lineage: Eukaryota; Fungi; Glomeromycota
Description: partial small subunit ribosomal RNA
Rfam family: Eukaryotic small subunit ribosomal RNA (bases 54-216)
Source: RNAcentral
GGGUCAGUAGGUUGGUCGUGCCACCGGUACGUACUGGUCUCACUGACUCCUCCUUCCUGAAGAACCGUAAUGCCAUUAAUUUGGUGUUGCGGGGAAACAGGACUGUUACUUUGAAAAAAUUAGAGUGUAUAAAGCAAGCUAACGCUUGAAUACAUUAGCAUGGAAUAAUGAAAUAGGACGAUCGAUCCUAUUUUGUUGGUUUCUAGGAUUGACGUA